CACUCUAAGCGGUGGAUCACUCGGCUCAUGGGUCGAUGAAGAACGCAGCAAACUGUGCGUCAUCGUGUGAACUGCAGGACACAUGAACAUCGACAUUUUG
Molecule: ribosomal RNA, 100 nt
Organism: Drosophila willistoni
Lineage: Eukaryota; Metazoa; Arthropoda; Insecta; Diptera; Drosophilidae
Rfam family: 5.8S ribosomal RNA
About the family: 5.8S ribosomal RNA (5.8S rRNA) is a component of the large subunit of the eukaryotic ribosome. It is transcribed by RNA polymerase I as part of the 45S precursor that also contains 18S and 28S rRNA.
Source: Rfam